This 700-nucleotide ribosomal RNA is filed under the name Nocardioides salarius. Its description in RNAcentral is "bacterial SSU rRNA". It matches the Rfam family "Bacterial small subunit ribosomal RNA", at positions 92 to 806 of the family's 1533-position model. The record is from RNAcentral. Lineage: Bacteria; Bacillati; Actinomycetota; Actinomycetes; Propionibacteriales; Nocardioidaceae.
CGAGCGGCGAACGGGUGAGUAACACGUGAGUAAUCUGCCCUCCACUUCGGGAUAAGCCUCGGAAACGGGGUCUAAUACCGGAUAUGACCACUUCAUGCAUGUGAUGGUGGUGGAAAGUUUUUCGGUGGGGGAUGUGCUCGCGGCCUAUCAGCUUGUUGGUGGGGUAAUGGCCUACCAAGGCUUCGACGGGUAGCCGGCCUGAGAGGGUGACCGGCCACACUGGGACUGAGACACGGCCCAGACUCCUACGGGAGGCAGCAGUGGGGAAUAUUGGACAAUGGGCGGAAGCCUGAUCCAGCAACGCCGCGUGAGGGAUGACGGCCUUCGGGUUGUAAACCUCUUUCAGUGGGGACGAAGCGCAAGUGACGGUACCCACAGAAGAAGCACCGGCCAACUACGUGCCAGCAGCCGCGGUAAUACGUAGGGUGCGAGCGUUGUCCGGAAUUAUUGGGCGUAAAGGGCUCGUAGGCGGUUUGUCGCGUCGGGAGUGAAAACACUGGGCUUAACUCAGUGCUUGCUUCCGAUACGGGCAGACUAGAGGUAUUCAGGGGAGAACGGAAUUCCUGGUGUAGCGGUGAAAUGCGCAGAUAUCAGGAGGAACACCGGUGGCGAAGGCGGUUCUCUGGGAAUUACCUGACGCUGAGGAGCGAAAGUGUGGGGAGCGAACAGGAUUAGAUACCCUGGUAGUCCACACCGUAAA